RNAcentral lists this ribosomal RNA (497 nucleotides) under uncultured bacterium. RNAcentral describes it as "partial 16S ribosomal RNA". It matches the Rfam family "Bacterial small subunit ribosomal RNA", at positions 28 to 507 of the family's 1533-position model. The record is from RNAcentral.
GAUGAACGCUGGCGGCGUGCCUAAUACAUGCAAGUCGAGCGAACAGACGAGGAGCUUGCUCCUCUGACGUUAGCGGCGGACGGGUGAGUAACACGUGGAUAGCCUACCUAUAAGACUGGGAUAACUUCGGGAAACCGGAGCUAAUACCGGAUAAUAUGUUGAACCGCAUGGUUCAGUAGUGAAAGACGGUUUUGCUGUCACUUAUAGAUGGAUCCGCGCCGCAUUAGCUAGUUGGUAAGGUAACGGCUUACCAAGGCAACGAUGCGUAGCCGACCUGAGAGGGUGAUCGGCCACACUGGAACUGAGACACGGUCCAGACUCCUACGGGAGGCAGCAGUAGGGAAUCUUCCGCAAUGGGCGAAAGCCUGACGGAGCAACGCCGCGUGAGUGAUGAAGGUCUUCGGAUCGUAAAACUCUGUUAUUAGGGAAGAACAAAUGUGUAAGUAACUAUGCACGUCUUGACGGUACCUAAUCAGAAAGCCACGGCUAACUACGUG